RNAcentral lists this transfer RNA (83 nucleotides) under Olpidium bornovanus. It matches the Rfam family "tRNA". Rfam says of the family: Transfer RNA (tRNA) molecules are approximately 80 nucleotides in length. Their secondary structure includes four short double-helical elements and three loops (D, anti-codon, and T loops). Lineage: Eukaryota; Fungi; Olpidiomycota; Olpidiomycetes; Olpidiales; Olpidiaceae. The record is from Rfam by way of RNAcentral.
GGGGAGAUGGCCGAGUUGGUCUAAGGCGUCAGAUUAAGGCUCUGAUCUCUUCGGAGGCAAGGGUUCGAAUCCCUUUCUCCUCA